UCAUUAUUAAAGCAGCAACUUUCAUGCAACCUUCUUAAAGAGUUAUUCUUUCUCUGCAGGGCUUAAGUAUAUGUCCUAAGGCAUUCUUUUCGGUUUGCAUGUUAACUCAUUGAAUUACUAGAUUGAUGCAAAGAAAAUGGCUCCCAUCGAAACUCCUCAACAUCUCUGAAGAUCUCCAUGGACAUUCCUCCAGGGCCACCGACCUGAUUAUUAUUAGCAUAGAAUACCACUUCAACUUCAGUUGCUUCGCUGAAGAAAUCCUUUGCACGUUACCAAAGUUCGUACUCGAUCAAAUAUGGCUAAGCACAAUAGUCUGGUCUGCAGAAAGCUGCAACUGAAGGGGGUGGAAACUGUUCCUGCAGAUGAAUCUACUGAUAAAAAGUGUACCGUGUAGUAUCCAGCAGGGUCCAGUGGAAAGACUUCAGAAGCCAAGAGCAGAUCAUUAGCUAAUAUGUGGAUCUGUGAGUGGACAAUUAAAAUGCUGCUACAGUUGUUGUUAUAACCCUGUUGAAGCUUGUUGCAUUUAGUCAUUUGGAAUAGAUAGCAAAACUGAAAAGCAAGGGUUAAGUUUGAAGGCAAUGUACCAUGAGUUGCUAUUUGAAUAUAUGGCUCCCAUGCAUAACUCACUUUUUUUUUUUUUACCUCUUCCUCUGAAUGCAGUAAUGAAACCACCAAUAUUGAAAAAAUCAGUAUUGGGCAUGCAUGAGAACAACAAAAUCAAAGAGCCACUGGCAGUAACCAUAGACAAUACUGAGGUAGAUGGAGUGAUUGUCUGGCUCAGUUUGAGGCAGUUUAUAUUCCCUUUUCAAUUUACCUAAGCGGGAAACUAUUA
Long non-coding RNA from Podarcis raffonei (Aeolian wall lizard), 832 nucleotides. RefSeq lists it as uncharacterized. The transcript has 3 exons. Lineage: Eukaryota; Metazoa; Chordata; Lepidosauria; Squamata; Lacertidae. The record is from RefSeq and is a predicted model, not a curated record.